Unclassified non-coding RNA from Pongo abelii (Sumatran orangutan), 147 nucleotides. It matches the Rfam family "Metazoan signal recognition particle RNA". From Rfam's summary of the family: The signal recognition particle (SRP) is a universally conserved ribonucleoprotein. Lineage: Eukaryota; Metazoa; Chordata; Mammalia; Primates; Hominidae. The record is from Ensembl.
GCUGGGCAUGGUGGCGCGUGCCUGUAAUCCCAGCUACUUAGAAGCCGAGGCAGGAGAACCACUCGAACCCGGGAGGCGGAGUUUGCAGUGAGCUGAGAUUGCGCCACUGCGCUCCAGCCUGGGUGACAGAGUGAGAUUCUGUUUCAG